RNAcentral lists this ribosomal RNA (460 nucleotides) under uncultured bacterium. Its description in RNAcentral is "partial 16S ribosomal RNA". It matches the Rfam family "Bacterial small subunit ribosomal RNA", at positions 338 to 795 of the family's 1533-position model. The record is from RNAcentral.
CCUACGGGUGGCUGCAGUGAGGAAUAUUGGUCAAUGGGCGCAAGCCUGAACCAGCCAAGUCGCGUGAGGGAUGACGGUCCUAUGGAUUGUAAACCUCUUUUGUCGGGGAGCAAGGCCCGCCACGUGUGGCGGGAAGGAGAGUACCCGAAGAAAAAGCAUCGGCUAACUCCGUGCCAGCAGCCGCGGUAAUACGGAGGAUGCGAGCGUUAUCCGGAUUUAUUGGGUUUAAAGGGUGCGCAGGCGGGAGAUCAAUUCAGCGGGAAAAUGUCGGGGCUGAACCCCGGCCGGCCGUUGAAACUGGUUUUCUAGAGUUGGAGAGAAGUAUGCGGAAUUCGUGGUGUAGCGGUGAAAUGCAUAGAUAUCACGAAGAACUCCGAUUGCGAAGGCAGCAUACCGGCUCCAUACUGACGCUGAGGCACGAAAGCGUGGGGAUCGAACAGGAUUAGAUACCCCUGUAGUC